GACAGAGGGUGCAAACGUUGUUCGGAAUUACUGGGCGUAAAGCGCGUGUAGGCGGCUUUGCAAGUCGGGUGUGAAAGCCCACGGCUCAACCGUGGAAGUGCAUUCGAAACUGCAAGGCUAGUGUCCUGGAGAGGAGGGUGGAAUGCUUGGUGUAGAGGUGAAAUUCGUAGAUAUCAAGCGGAACACCGGUGGCGAAGGCGGCCUUCUGGACAGUGACUGACGCUGAGACGCGAAAGCGUGGGGAGCAAACAGG
Molecule: ribosomal RNA, 253 nt
Filed under: uncultured bacterium
Lineage: Bacteria
Description: partial 16S ribosomal RNA
Rfam family: Bacterial small subunit ribosomal RNA
Source: RNAcentral